AUUGAACGCUGGCGGCAUGCCUUACACAUGCAAGUCGAACGGAGUGGCGGACGGGUGAGUAAUGUCUGGGAAACUGCCCGAUGGAGGGGGAUAACUACUGGAAACGGUGGCUAAUACCGCAUACUAUCGGAUGAGCCUAGGUCGGAUUAGCUAGUUGGUGGGGUAAAGGCCUACCAAGGCGACGAUCCGUAGCUGGUCUGAGAGGAUGAUCAGUCACACUGGAACUGAGACACGGUCCAGACUCCUACGGGAGGCAGCAGUGGGGAAUAUUGGACAAUGGGCGAAAGCCUGAUCCAGCCAUGCCGCGUGUGUGAAGAAGGUCUUCGGGUUGUAAAGCACUUUAAGUUGGGAGGCGUUACCAACAGAAUAAGCACCGGCUAACUUCGUGCCAGCAGCCGCGGUAAUAC
This 407-nucleotide ribosomal RNA is filed under the name uncultured bacterium. Its description in RNAcentral is "partial 16S ribosomal RNA". It matches the Rfam family "Bacterial small subunit ribosomal RNA", at positions 30 to 526 of the family's 1533-position model. The record is from RNAcentral.